RNAcentral lists this ribosomal RNA (463 nucleotides) under uncultured bacterium. RNAcentral describes it as "partial 16S ribosomal RNA". It matches the Rfam family "Bacterial small subunit ribosomal RNA", at positions 28 to 507 of the family's 1533-position model. The record is from RNAcentral.
GAUGAACGCUGGCAGAAUGCUUAACACAUGCAAGUCGUGGGCACAGCUGUGCUUGCACAGCCUAGCAAAUGCGCACGGGUGAGGAACGCGUAAGGAACUUGCCCUGCAUACAGGAAUAACAGACGGAAACGACUGAUAAGACCUGGCAAGGUCAGACGUACACAUGUCCAGCCUGAAGAAAACAGAUGCUGUGGGAGUGACUUACGUCUGAGUAGCCUGUUGGUUGGGUAACUGGCCACCAAGGGGGUGAUAGGGAGCCGGCCGGAGAGGCUGCACGGCCACAAGGGGACUGAGAUGCGGCACUUACUCCUACGGGGGGCAGGAGUGGAGAAUAUUGGACCAUGGGGGCAACACUGAUGAAGCACUUCUGUGUGCACGACGCUGGUUUUAGGGUUGUAAAGUGCUUUCAGCAGGGAAGAAAAAAAUGACGGUACCUGCAGAAGAAGCGACGGCUAACUACGUG